Molecule: long non-coding RNA, 500 nt
Filed under: Heterocephalus glaber (naked mole-rat)
Lineage: Eukaryota; Metazoa; Chordata; Mammalia; Rodentia; Bathyergidae
Description: lncRNA (ENSHGLG00000041987.1)
Source: RNAcentral
GGAAAAUCCAUAUGUGACACUCAAUUGAAGAAGUCGGUUUAAAUCUAGCAGGUGGAAUGGAACUGCAGACCAGUUGCAAAAAUAAGAAUAUCUUCUAUUUUUGCAGAUUUACCAUCCUCAAUAGUCUAGAACUGACCUUUUUUGGUUAGAAGAAAAAAAUGUUUGAAGUUCCUGCAUCAGCAAUACCAGAAAUCUGAGCUUACUAAUAAUGACAUUAUGCUUGUACAUGGUGAGCCUCAUUUUACUGUUGCAAGAAAAAUAUAUAGAUUACAGGUUUUGAAAUCAAUUUAGUAGGUUGUGAGCAGCACGGCUUUUAAAAAUAGAACAGAAUGGAAAAUGUCUGAAUGCAUUGCAAGAGAGAGAUAAGAAUUAUUUUGUAUAACUUUUUUGUUUCCAUUUUAUAUAGAUAAAACUAUAGAUGAAGAGCUGAAGUGUGUAUUCAGUUGGAGUAUGAAAUAUAUUUCUUACUGACUUGCAGUUAAAAAUAAAAACCAUUGAUU